Molecule: transfer RNA, 58 nt
Filed under: Salmo salar (Atlantic salmon)
Lineage: Eukaryota; Metazoa; Chordata; Actinopteri; Salmoniformes; Salmonidae
Rfam family: tRNA
About the family: Transfer RNA (tRNA) molecules are approximately 80 nucleotides in length. Their secondary structure includes four short double-helical elements and three loops (D, anti-codon, and T loops). Further hydrogen bonds mediate the characteristic L-shaped molecular structure. tRNAs have two regions of fundamental functional importance: the anti-codon, which is responsible for specific mRNA codon recognition, and the 3' end, to which the tRNAs corresponding amino acid is attached (by aminoacyl-tRNA synthetases). tRNAs cope with the degeneracy of the genetic code in two manners: having more than one tRNA (with a specific anti-codon) for a particular amino acid; and 'wobble' base-pairing, i.e. permitting non-standard base-pairing at the 3rd anti-codon position.
Source: Rfam by way of RNAcentral
UAGCUCAGUUGGUAGAGCAUGGUGUGUGCAACGCCAGGAUUGUGGGUUUGAUUCCCAC